GGGUUGUGAGGUUAAGCGACUAAGCGUACACGGUGGAUGCCUAGGCAAUCAGAGGCGAUGAAGGACGUGCUAAUCUGCGAAAAGCGUCGGUAAGGUGAUAUGAACCGUUAUAACCGACGAUGUCCGAAUGGGGAAACCCAGUGCAAUUCGUUGCACUAUCGUUUGAUGAAUCCAUAGUCAAACGAGGCGAACCGGGGGAACUGAAACAUCUCAGUACCCCGAGGAAAAGAAAUCAACCGAGAUUCCCCUAGUAGCGGCGAGCGAACGGGGAGCAGCCCAGAGUCUUAAUCAGCAUCAGCAUCAGGAGAACGGUCUGGAAAGGCCGGCAAUAAAGGGUGAUAGCCCCGUAUCCGAAGGUGUUGGUGUUGUGAACUCGAUGAGUAGGGCGGGACACGUGUUAUCCUGUCUGAAUAUGGGGGGACCAUCCUCCAAGGCUAAAUACUCCUGAUUGACCGAUAGUGAACCAGUACCGUGAGGGAAAGGCGAAAAGAACCCCGGCGAGGGGAGUGAAAUAGAACCUGAAACCGUGUACGUACAAGCAGUGGGAGCCUUGAUUUAUCAGGGUGACUGCGUACCUUUUGUAUAAUGGGUCAGCGACUUAUAUUCUGUAGCAAGGUUAACCGAAUAGGGGAGCCGUAGGGAAACCGAGUCUUAACUGGGCGAAUGAGUUGCAGGGUAUAGACCCGAAACCCGGUGAUCUAGCCAUGGGCAGGUUGAAGGUUGGGUAACACUAACUGGAGGACCGAACCGACUAAUGUUGAAAAAUUAGCGGAUGACUUGUGGCUGGGGGUGAAAGGCCAAUCAAACCGGGAGAUAGCUGGUUCUCCCCGAAAGCUAUUUAGGUAGCGCCUCGUGAACUCAUCUUCGGGGGUAGAGCACUGUUUCGGCUAGGGGGUCAUCCCGACUUACCAACCCGAUGCAAACUACGAAUACCGAAGAAUGUUAUCACGGGAGACACACGGCGGGUGCUAACGUUCGUCGUGAAGAGGGAAACAACCCAGACCGCCAGCUAAGGUCCCAAAGUCAUGGUUAAGUGGGAAACGAAGUGGGAAGGCUCAGACAGCCAGGAUGUUGGCUUAGAAGCAGCCAUCAUUUAAAGAAAGCGUAAUAGCUCACUGGUCGAGUCGGCCUGCGCGGAAGAUGUAACGGGGCUAAACCAUGCACCGAAGCUGCGGCAGCGACAUGUAGAUGUUGUUGGGUAGGGGAGCGUUCUGUAAGCCUGUGAAGGUGUGCUGCGAGGCAUGCUGGAGGUAUCAGAAGUGCGAAUGCUGACAUAAGUAACGAUAAUGCGGGUGAAAAACCCGCACGCCGGAAGACCAAGGGUUCCUGUCCAACGUUAAUCGGGGCAGGGUGAGUCGACCCCUAAGGCGAGGCAGAAAUGCGUAGUCGAUGGGAAACAGGUUAAUAUUCCUGUACUGGUGAUAAUUGCGAUGGGGGGACGGAGAAGGCUAGGCUGGCCGGGCGACGGUUGUCCCGGUUUAAGGAUGUAGGUGGGUGAAUUAGGCAAAUCCGGUUCGCUAUACACUGAGGUCUGAUGACGAGUCACUACGGUGGCGAAGUAGCUCAUGCCCCGCUUCCAGGAAAAGCCUCUAAGCUCUAGAUUAUCAUUAAUCGUACCCCAAACCGACACAGGUGGUCAGGUAGAGAAUACUCAGGCGCUUGAGAGAACUCGGGUGAAGGAACUAGGCAAAAUGGUGCCGUAACUUCGGGAGAAGGCACGCUGGCAUUAGGUGAAGUGGUUUACCCAUGGAGCUGAAGCCAGUCGCAGAUACCAGCUGGCUGCAACUGUUUAUUAAAAACACAGCACUGUGCAAACACGAAAGUGGACGUAUACGGUGUGACGCCUGCCCGGUGCUGGAAGGUUAAUUGAUGGGGUUAUCCGUAAGGAGAAGCUCUUGAUCGAAGCCCCAGUAAACGGCGGCCGUAACUAUAACGGUCCUAAGGUAGCGAAAUUCCUUGUCGGGUAAGUUCCGACCUGCACGAAUGGCGUAAUGAUGGCCAGGCUGUCUCCACCCGAGACUCAGUGAAAUUGAACUCGCUGUGAAGAUGCAGUGUACCCGCGGCAAGACGGAAAGACCCCGUGAACCUUUACUAUAGCUUGACACUGAACAUUGAGCCUUGAUGUGUAGGAUAGGUGGGAGGCUUUGAAGUGUGGACGCCAGUCUGCAUGGAGCCAACCUUGAAAUACCACCCUUUAAUGUUUGAUGUUCUAACGUAGCCCCAUAAUCUGGGGUGCGGACAGUGUCUGGUGGGUAGUUUGACUGGGGCGGUCUCCUCCCAAAGCGUAACGGAGGAGCACGAAGGUUGGCUAAGCAUGGUCGGACAUCAUGCGGUUAGUGCAAAGGCAUAAGCCAGCUUGACUGCGAGAGUGACGGCUCGAGCAGGUACGAAAGUAGGUCUUAGUGAUCCGGUGGUUCUGAAUGGAAGGGCCAUCGCUCAACGGAUAAAAGGUACUCCGGGGAUAACAGGCUGAUACCGCCCAAGAGUUCAUAUCGACGGCGGUGUUUGGCACCUCGAUGUCGGCUCAUCACAUCCUGGGGCUGAAGUAGGUCCCAAGGGUAUGGCUGUUCGCCAUUUAAAGUGGUACGCGAGCUGGGUUUAGAACGUCGUGAGACAGUUCGGUCCCUAUCUGCCGUGGGCGUUGGAAGAUUGAAAGGGGCUGCUCCUAGUACGAGAGGACCGGAGUGGACGCACCGCUGGUGUUCGGGUUGUCAUGCCAAUGGCACUGCCCGGUAGCUAAGUGCGGAAGAGAUAACCGCUGAAAGCAUCUAAGCGGGAAACUUGCCUUGAGAUGAGUCUUCCCUGACUCUUUAAGGGUCCUAAAGGAACGUUUAAGACGAAGACGUUGAUAGGCUGGGUGUGUAAGCGUAGCGAUACGUUGAGCUAACCAGUACUAAUGAACCGUGAGGCUUAACCUGACAACACCGAAGGUGUUUUAG
RNAcentral lists this ribosomal RNA (2939 nucleotides) under Providencia stuartii. Its description in RNAcentral is "bacterial LSU rRNA". It matches the Rfam family "Bacterial large subunit ribosomal RNA". The record is from RNAcentral. Lineage: Bacteria; Pseudomonadati; Pseudomonadota; Gammaproteobacteria; Enterobacterales; Morganellaceae.